AUCCUUUUGCAGUUCAUGAGCAUGAUGAUUGGGUAUUCGUGCACAUGUGUGAGAUGUGCCACCCUCGAACCUUGUUAUGACAUCGGCACAUUGCUCAUCUAACA
Small nucleolar RNA from Gorilla gorilla gorilla (western lowland gorilla), 104 nucleotides. Lineage: Eukaryota; Metazoa; Chordata; Mammalia; Primates; Hominidae. The record is from Ensembl.